AUUAUUUGCAGCUGCAUGCAGUGAUACAAAUAGAAAUAGAAAAACCAAAAUAGACUUACAAAUAAGUAUACAUAUAUGUACACCGAGAAGCAUGGCAUAACUAGCAAACUAGAACUUAAGUUGCAACAAAGGAGUACCACCAGUAGCAACAGCAACGCCGGCAGACGGAGACGAUUUGCGGGAACGCUUGCUUAGCAACUGACUGGCCGAUGGUUGAUUGGGGUGAACCAGCGGUGUUUUUGGCUGGAGGAGCAACGGACGUGCAGCAAGGCUAUGUACGAAAAUUGUGCCUGCUACAAGAAAAAUUGUGGCACCACACAGCCACAGCCAACACUGCAGAGCGCGAUGGCGACAUGACAUGACGCCACACUGGUGGCACACAUAGCCUCAGAUGGCAAUGGCGAUGGCGGCGGCAGCAGCGGCAAACGCGAUGGCAGCAGUGAAUGACUCACUUUGCUGGUGGUGCGGUGCCGACCACUUCCAACAAACCGCAAACGAAAAGCAAAAUAAUGCAGUGGCACGAAAAACAACUGAAAAGCAACUGCAACAAGCAACGAUGUGAAACUAAAAUUGAAAAAAUUCCGCAGCCUGAAAAAAAAUAUUCGCGCAAAUGCAAAAACGAAUGAAAAAUGAAGCAGACUGAAGAAAUAUAGGAACCACCCAAGCCAACUUCGCUCGGCACAGACAACACCACCACAUUACAACUUGAGCCAGCCGGCGAAACGGCCAACAAAUUUUAACCGGCUGCCGCCGAAUGAGCGAACGAAUGAUGCAGCCAGCCAAACAGCGCUGAACAAAGCCCUACACAUAUUUAGAUUUUACAUAGGUAUGUAUGUAUAUAUAUACUAGGUAUGUAAUUGAGAAAAUUUGAGUUGGCAAAUGAGAAACGAAGCAAUGCAGUGUGUAUGCAGAAAAGUCCAGACGAAUCAAUCGAGAGAAUGGCUAAAAGUUGUAUGGACAGCAGAGAGAAAUCGAAGCAUGGAGCUAAACGCUAAUAGGUCAAACACGCCAGAAAAGGAGUUAAAUCUUUCCACGAAAGCUAUAGCCAUAAUUAGAAAUUUUAAAUUUACACACAUUUAAGAAAAAUUUAAAUUUCCGUGCAAUUAUGCUGAACGUUAUGCGCUGGAAAGCAUAAUUUGCCGAAUCUAUUUCAAGUACGCUACAGGAUAAGCUACUUGCUGGCAACUAGAUUUGAUUGAAGCUGAACUUCAACUUGUUCGUCUUCUAUCCUUUCCCCAUGCUAUCAAUCAACUGGCAUUUUUAAGAUGGCAUUAACCUACGAAAUUCCAAUUGUACGGCUAUGUAGCAGCAUCAUAACAGCUGAUGGAGUUGUCUGCCUUUCCAUCACUAGAGCCGAUAGUAGGUUCCUUCCCGAUGAUCAGAGAUACUUUUUAAUAUUAUCGAUAACAUUUGUAUCGUUAUCGUUUUUACAAAUAUCAUGUUAGCCCCGAUUUAUUACACAAAUAAAUAGAUAUCGUUAUCGGUAUUUUUAUUUAUA
Molecule: long non-coding RNA, 1498 nt
Organism: Rhagoletis pomonella (apple maggot)
Lineage: Eukaryota; Metazoa; Arthropoda; Insecta; Diptera; Tephritidae
Exons: 2
Source: RefSeq, a predicted model, not a curated record